GCGUGAGUGAUGAAGGCCUUCGGGUCGUAAAGCUCUUUUACCAGGGAUGAUAAUGACAGUACCUGGAGAAUAAGCUCCGGCUAACUCCGUGCCAGCAGCCGCGGUAAUACGGAGGGAGCUAGCGUUGUUCGGAAUUACUGGGCGUAAAGCGCGCGUAGGCGGCUUUGUAAGUCAGAGGUGAAAGCCUGGAGCUCAACUCCAGAACUGCCUUUGAAACUACAUCGCUAGAACGAUGGAGAGGUAAGUGGAAUUCCGAGUGUAGAGGUGAAAUUCGU
This 275-nucleotide ribosomal RNA is filed under the name uncultured bacterium. Its description in RNAcentral is "partial 16S ribosomal RNA". It matches the Rfam family "Bacterial small subunit ribosomal RNA", at positions 399 to 691 of the family's 1533-position model. The record is from RNAcentral.